Molecule: long non-coding RNA, 1030 nt
Organism: Gasterosteus aculeatus aculeatus (three-spined stickleback)
Lineage: Eukaryota; Metazoa; Chordata; Actinopteri; Perciformes; Gasterosteidae
Source: RefSeq, a predicted model, not a curated record
UACCAAAAGCAUUUUUCGUGCAAUGGCCGCUAAAUGCCUUUUGUUGGUCGGCUGUUUGUUGAUGGGCAGGUAAUGUACCGUACUUUUAUGUUGCAUGCAGUUGUUGUUGAUACAAAUGCCUGGAACCCCCCCCCCCCCCUCGCCUCCCCUGUGGCUUUCACCCAUUAUUCUGAGAUGUGUAGCCUCAGGGGACGAGAACUCCUUCAUUCAAUUUUAAAUUCACGCAAUUUGGUUUUGUUUGGUUCAUUUCAUCCCUUUACCUAUUACCUCAUUUCCUCUGUUGUUGACAGACAAGCAGAAUAACACACACGCACACACAGACACACACACCUGGGACAGGGGUCAUCUAACUGAACCCUGGUUUACCUGUCUACUAGGUAAACAGAACAAAACCCAGACUUUGUCCUGUCAAACACAGCUCUUAUCUCAGGUAACGGGAUGGAAUGAAAAUCUGGAGCUCGGAUCAAACCUUCUCAAUCGACGAGUCAUCCGAAAAACAGUGCUUUGCAUGAUGGGAAACUCAACAACCAAGUUGGACUAAUGCCUUUCAUCAUUCAUCAUUUCAUCACACGUCCGUCAUGCAGGGAGACAUUAUGAAUGAUCUUCCCUUAUCGGCCCUGAACAGUACGGCUGAGCUUAAUUGAUUUGUUCAGAGCUUUACUUCACCUUUGUACCCGACUCUUCACUCGAGAGCUUCUCGCCGUCCACCUGAUCAAGAUUAAAGCACUGAGGUGGGAACCAGCGGACAUUAAGUCCAAGAGGGAAACCGACAUCGAGAGGAAAAGAUUGGAUCAAACGCGGUGGGAGAACUGCUGCUCUCGAAGGCCAAACACUCACGGCGCACAAUUACAGCUCAACAAGGAAUAUAAACGGGGCAGCAGGACGGCCCGUCACCUGUAGAGACUGUGUGAUGUAGAGCGGGGCAGGACUCCCCCGACGGGAGAGGACCCUCCAUCCCUUCAUACGCCGCCAGUGGGAGAUUCUAUUAAAGCGUCAGCGGGCGCUGGUGGUGCUGGUGGGGUUCGGCGGA